This 503-nucleotide ribosomal RNA is filed under the name uncultured bacterium. Its description in RNAcentral is "partial 16S ribosomal RNA". It matches the Rfam family "Bacterial small subunit ribosomal RNA", at positions 29 to 507 of the family's 1533-position model. The record is from RNAcentral.
AACGAACGCUGGCGGCGUGCCUAACACAUGCAAGUCGAACGAGAAAGGGGCUUCGGCUCCGAGUAAAGUGGCGCACGGGUGAGUAACACGUGGGUAACCUGCCUCUAAGAUUGGGAUAACUCGUCGAAAGAUGAGCUAAUACCGAAUAAGACCACAGUUCCCGCGGGAACAGGGGUCAAAGGUAGCCUCUGCUUGCAAGCUAUCACUUAGAGAUGGGCCUGCGCACCAUUAGCUAGUUGGUAGGGUAACGGCCUACCAAGGCAAAGAUGGUUAGCUGGUCUGAGGGGAUGAUCAGCCACACUGGAACUGAGACACGGGCCAGACUCCUACGGGAGGCAGCAGUGGGGAAUAUUGCGCAAUGGGCGAAAGCUUGACGCAGCAACGCCGCGUGAGUGAUGAAGGCCUUCGGGUCGUAAAGCUCUGUCGGGAGGAACGAAUGCUCCUGAGGUUAACAGCCUCGGGAGGUGACGGUACCUUCAAAGGAAGCACCGGCUAACUCUGUG